AGGUUCUGCACGUCUUUGCCCAA
This 23-nucleotide non-coding RNA is filed under the name Arabidopsis thaliana (thale cress). Lineage: Eukaryota; Viridiplantae; Streptophyta; Magnoliopsida; Brassicales; Brassicaceae. The record is from RNAcentral.